GUGUCAGCAGCCGCGGUAAUACAGAGGUCCCAAGCGUUGUUCGGAUUUACUGGGCGUAAAGGGAGCGUAGGUGGCAUUCUAAGUCUGAUGUGAAAGCUCUGAGCUUAACUCAGAAAUGGCAUUAGAUACUAGUUUGCUUGAGGAUUGGAGGGGAGAUUGGAAUUCUUGGUGUAGCAGUGAAAUGCGUAGAUAUCAAGAGGAACACCAGUGGCGAAGGCGAAUCUCUGGACAAUUCCUGACACUGAUGCUCGAAAGCUAGGGGAGCAAACGGGAUUAGAAACCCGCGUAGUCC
RNAcentral lists this ribosomal RNA (292 nucleotides) under uncultured bacterium. RNAcentral describes it as "partial 16S ribosomal RNA". It matches the Rfam family "Bacterial small subunit ribosomal RNA", at positions 505 to 796 of the family's 1533-position model. The record is from RNAcentral.